RNAcentral lists this ribosomal RNA (253 nucleotides) under uncultured bacterium. RNAcentral describes it as "partial 16S ribosomal RNA". It matches the Rfam family "Bacterial small subunit ribosomal RNA", at positions 524 to 776 of the family's 1533-position model. The record is from RNAcentral.
UACGUAGGUGACCAGCGUUGUCCGGAUUUACUGGGCGUAAAGAGCGCGCAGGCGGUCGUUCAAGUCGAGUGUGAAAGCCCCCGGCUCAACUGGGGAGGGUCAUUCGAUACUGAUCGACUCGAAGGCAGGAGAGGGAAGCGGAAUUCCCGGUGUAGUGGUGAAAUGCGCAGAUAUCAGGAGGAACACCGGUGGCGAAGGCGGGUCUCUGGGCCGAUAUUGACGCUGAGGAGCGAAAGCGUGGGGAGCAAACAGG